Molecule: transfer RNA, 23 nt
Filed under: Salvia bupleuroides
Lineage: Eukaryota; Viridiplantae; Streptophyta; Magnoliopsida; Lamiales; Lamiaceae
Also listed under: 4 other names
Description: partial tRNA-His
Source: RNAcentral
GGCGGAUGUAGCCAAGUGGACAA